ACAGUUCUUAGCCGAACGGUUAUCAUGACAGACUCAAAAUCUGAAGGAUCACCAGAACAGACUUUAAAUCUGAUGGGCUACCGCAACAGAAUUGAAAUCUGUUGGUGUAGGUUCGAAACCUGCCGAAUGUC
Molecule: non-coding RNA, 131 nt
Organism: Suillus occidentalis
Lineage: Eukaryota; Fungi; Basidiomycota; Agaricomycetes; Boletales; Suillaceae
Source: the annotation of a GenBank genome assembly